GCUCGUGCUCCUGCUUGCUGGUGCGCCUGAUUGCUCAGGUGCGGGGCUCAUCAGGCGCUCACCCGGCGCCUACCCUGCGUCACCCGGUGCCUCAAUAAAGGGCUUUGUGUGCGCGCGGGGCGCAGAUCCAGCCUGCCUAAUGGGAGUCACUUCGCCCCAGUGGGUGACAGUCAUUGUCCCACGCCCACUCUCGAGGAUCCAGCGACAGCUCCGUGUUCCUGUUCAUGUAGGCACCUCUUAGGGUCCCAAGCAAACCGUGGCACUAUGCGGGAGGGUUUUGCUAGAGUUGUCCCUUGCUAACACCAGGACAUUCCCUGUGUCCCUCCGUCGAGCCUAAAUGACGUCAUAAAGCAAAGAGGCUAUCAUAUGUGUAUGUUUCACGGGUUAUGAGAACUAAAGACUAGGCCUGAGAGCUUCUAGCCCGAGGUGUUUGGUUCAGCAUGGCAAGCAAGGCUCUGGCAUUGGAGGAGAAGCAGUCUAGUAACCUGAGAUAGGCUCCGGAAAAACCGGCGUCCCUGUGCCCAGCAAGGCAGUUCCCAACACGACUCAAUCUUCUGAAGUUCGGAUUGUGAGCCAUAUACAGCUCAGGCCAGGCUCAAGCUUGCUGUGUGGCUGAGGAUGUUCUUGAAGUGCCAAUCCUCCUGCCUCCACCUCCCAAGCUAUAAGAUUAAAGGCAUGGGCCACCAUGUCUGACUGCUUUUUUCAAAAUGUGGUCUCACUCUGGCCCUGGCCAAACUGGAAUUCUCUGUGUAGCCCAGGUUUGCCUCAAUUUCAGUGCAAUCCUCCUUUCGCAGACUUCCGAGUACUAGGGUUACACACGAGUGAGAGUCACGACCCCCUGCUCUGCUCUCGUGUUUCUUACCCAACAGCUAUACAGAACAGAGAGUAGAUACCCAACAGCGACCACGGAGGCAGUGAUGAAAGAGAGCCAGCAGGUUUUCAUACCUUAAUGUAACACAGCCAUAACUGAUUGCUUCGGUUUCUUUUUCUCUUGAGGCAGGGUCUUACC
This is a long non-coding RNA of Mus musculus (house mouse), 1009 nucleotides long. RefSeq annotates it as predicted gene, 42138. The record is from RefSeq and is a predicted model, not a curated record. The transcript is spliced from 3 exons. Lineage: Eukaryota; Metazoa; Chordata; Mammalia; Rodentia; Muridae.